RNAcentral lists this transfer RNA (71 nucleotides) under Phrynosoma platyrhinos (Desert horned lizard). RNAcentral describes it as "tRNA-OTHER". The record is from RNAcentral. Lineage: Eukaryota; Metazoa; Chordata; Lepidosauria; Squamata; Phrynosomatidae.
GUCAGUGUGGCAUAGUGGUUUGAGCGUAGGACUAAGAUUCUGAAGACCGGGGUUCAAUUCCCUACUUGACC